This 2029-nucleotide unclassified non-coding RNA is filed under the name Diuraphis noxia (Russian wheat aphid). Its description in RNAcentral is "frataxin, mitochondrial, transcript variant X1". Lineage: Eukaryota; Metazoa; Arthropoda; Insecta; Hemiptera; Aphididae. The record is from RNAcentral.
UAAGACCGUGGCUGUGAUAGUGUGUAUACUGAUAAAUGAUAAGAGCGCUUUUACAAUUUUCUUAUCAUACUCCGGGAGAACUAGAAGUCUAGAAUGUUCCCAUCGUCAGAUGAAUCAUGAAUACAUGAAUCGUUCCCGUCUCUAAACUAGUAUUAGUGAACGCUCUACUGAAGCUGCAACACCAUUCACCAUCGCGAUGAAAUAUUUAAGUCUGUACCACUCUGUACUCUGUUCUCUGUAGUCCAUGAUAUCUAUAUUUCUACAUUCUAAAUCAGUUAUUUUUUGUCAGUAGAUUUAAGAUUGUUUGAAAUUGAUUAGGUACCUAUAUAGUUAAUAUUUAUAUUAUUAUGCUCUACUAGUUUCGGAUUCUAGUCUAUGAUUGGAUUUUUAUAUCAUAUAUAUCUAUUAAAAAUGACGUCGUUGAAAUUACUACAAUCAUUAGUGUUAAAAAAUGAUUUUUUUACCAAAACAUUAUCUAAACGAGAGUAUUACCGUCUUUUCAAUCGAUCACAGUUUAAAAUUGAUUUACUUCAACAUCAUAUAAAAUUCUACUCUUAUGGCAANCUCAACAUACACCAGUCUUAUAUGUCUAGACGUUUUUCUGUGUCUAAUAAUCUAACUGAAAUAGAUUUUGAACAAGCNUGCAAUGAAACAUUAGAAUCGUUAUAUGAAUAUUUUGAACAAAUUGUUGAAGAUAACCCACAACUUGAAAACCCUGAUAUUUUAUUUAGUGAUGGUGUGUUAACAAUUCAAUUAGGUGAACCAUAUGGCACAUAUGUUAUUAAUCGACAGACACCAAAUAAACAAAUUUGGUUGAGUUCACCAAUAAGUGGUCCAAAACGAUAUGAUUUUAAUGGUACAAAAUGGAUUUACAAACAUGAUGGUGUCAGCUUACAUGAAUUACUGACUUCUGAGCUAUCUAAACAAUUUUCAUUUGAUGUAAACUUUUCUAAAUGCAUAUUUAGUGGUAACUUAAGUAAAUAGUUGUAUUAUAUUAAUUUGUUAAUAAUAAGUAAAUAUUACAAACCGUAGUUUGAGUUGUUAAAAUUAAAAAAUAUAUAUCUAUAUUGUUCAAACAGUUACUAAUCAAGGUUAUGAAAUUUUGAGUGCCUGAUUUAUCACCUUUUUCCAUAUUUUGUUGUUGAUCAUUAACCAUUUGAAAAAACUUGUAAAAUUAUACCUCAGCAGUCAAUCAUUAUUGCUGGACUAAGAAUAUGAAUGUUUCAAUGGGUUAACAUUGGCUAUUCAUGAGAAAGUAAUAUUUGAUCCUGAAAAAUGUAUUGAUAUUAUAUCUCAAAAAUCAAGAUAAGGGUACCUAUAUUACUUCUAUAAAUGAAUAGUUCUAAGAAAUAAUUACAUUUAUUAAAAUUAAUCCAAGGUAAUUAUGUUGUAUUUAAAUAUUAUAAUAAUAAACUUAUUAUUAAGUCAUACACAAAAAUGACAUAAGAUCAAAAAAAUAGAUAUAAAAAAAGUAAAGCCAAAUUAUAAAUUCUUUGAUUCAGCUCAUAAUAUGUUAGGUGGUCAUACCCCCUGUAUUAUACAUGAAAGUACCUACUCUAUUUCAACUGUAUGUCUCAUUGUCCCAACAUAAGCUUCCAAAUAUAUCUAUGGUUGUACCUAGAAAAAAUUAUAAAGAAAAAGACAACAUUUAAAAUGUAAUCACCAUUUAUCUGUUUUAAAUAUCAGUAAAUGUAUUAUUAUGCAUUUGUAGAAUAACAUUGUUUUUGCCAUAUUAUUAUGUUAAACAAUUUGUAUGUAUCAAAUUUGAUUAUUUAAAUUUAAAGUUAUGUUUGCUUUUUUUUAUAUGGAUCACAGCUAGNGCAUAGAGGUGACAAUGAUCAAUAAUUAGAUAUAAUAUAGGUCAAUAUGUGUAUAUUAUUUGUGUAUAGGUAUAUGGUUUUAUUUUUAAUGCCAGUCUCUAUGAAAUAUUUAUAAAAAUAUUAAAUUUUGUUAGUUUUUACCCAGUCUUUCAUGAUUUUCUGUUUGGAAAUAUUUAUCUGAAAAAUAUUUGACUUUAUAUUAUUGAUGG